UUUUAUUUUUAGGUCAAAUAUUUCGGUCUAGACAAGCUUUCAUUCUUUUGAUUUUUAAAAUUAUUUUUUAUUUUAAAAUUUUUAAAAAUUUUAUUUUUAUAGUAUUAGCAAUUUCUAGAUGCCACACUUCCAACAAUCUAAGGCGAAAGGAAUGGAUAGAUAAAUUUUCUUUAUAAGUUCAUUUCAUUUCUUGUUAUCCUUUAUAAGAUAACAAAUUACACUAUUUAGCCCUAACCAGCUGAGAUGGGCAUGCUUACACCACCGACCAACCCCGGGAGGCAAAAUGCAUCCUCUUCGGCAUGACAUUUAAAAGGUCC
This 317-nucleotide long non-coding RNA is filed under the name Elaeis guineensis (African oil palm). RNAcentral describes it as "long non-coding RNA (EGUI_LNC004636)". Lineage: Eukaryota; Viridiplantae; Streptophyta; Magnoliopsida; Arecales; Arecaceae. The record is from RNAcentral.